UUAAAUUGAAGAGUUUGAUCAUGGCUCAGAUUGAACGCUGGCGGCAGGCCUAACACAUGCAAGUCGAACGGUAACAGGAAACAGCUUGCUGUUUCGCUGACGAGUGGCGGACGGGUGAGUAAUGUCUGGGAAACUGCCUGAUGGAGGGGGAUAACUACUGGAAACGGUAGCUAAUACCGCAUAACGUCGCAAGACCAAAGAGGGGGACCUUCGGGCCUCUUGCCAUCGGAUGUGCCCA
Molecule: ribosomal RNA, 238 nt
Filed under: Escherichia coli
Lineage: Bacteria; Pseudomonadati; Pseudomonadota; Gammaproteobacteria; Enterobacterales; Enterobacteriaceae
Description: partial 16S ribosomal RNA
Rfam family: Bacterial small subunit ribosomal RNA
Source: RNAcentral